CGCUGGCGGCGUGCUUAACACAUGCAAGUCGAACGAUGAAGCGGUGCUUGCACCGUGGAUUAGUGGCGAACGGGUGAGUAACACGUGAGUAACCUGCCUUCCACUCUGGGAUAAGCGCUGGAAACGGCGUCUAAUACUGGAUAUGACAUUGCCCUGCAUGGGGUGGUGUGGAAAGAUUUUUUCGGUGGUUGAUGGACUCGCGGCCUAUCAGCUUGUUGGUGGGGUAAUGGCCUACCAAGGCGACGACGGGUAGCCGGCCUGAGAGGGUGACCGGCCACACUGGGACUGAGACACGGCCCAGACUCCUACGGGAGGCAGCAGUGGGGAAUAUUGCACAAUGGGCGCAAGCCUGAUGCAGCGACGCCGCGUGAGGGAUGACGGCCUUCGGGUUGUAAACCUCUUUCAGCUCUGACGAAGCCCGCUUGCGGGUGACGGUAGGAGCAGAAGAAGCACCGGCUAACUACGUGCCAGCAGCCGCGGUAAUACGUAGGGUGCGAGCGUUGUCCGGAAUUAUUGGGCGUAAAGAGCUUGUAGGCGGCUUGUCGCGUCUGCUGUGAAAGCCCGGGGCUUAACCCCGGGUCUGCAGUGGGUACGGGCAGGCUAGAGUGUGGUAGGGGAGACUGGAAUUCCUGGUGUAGCGGUGGAAUGCGCAGAUAUCAGGAGGAACACCGAUGGCGAAGGCAGGUCUCUGGGCCAUUACUGACGCUGAGAAGCGAAAGCGUGGGGAGCGAACAGGAUUAGAUACCCUGGUAGUCCACGCCGUAAACGUUGGGCGCUAGGUGUGGGUCCCAUUCCACGGGGUCCGUGCCGCAGCUAACGCAUUAAGCGCCCCGC
Molecule: ribosomal RNA, 834 nt
Filed under: Serinicoccus sp.
Lineage: Bacteria; Bacillati; Actinomycetota; Actinomycetes; Micrococcales; Ornithinimicrobiaceae
Description: bacterial SSU rRNA
Rfam family: Bacterial small subunit ribosomal RNA
Source: RNAcentral